UCUCUCUGAAUCUGCGAACGGCUCCGCAAACCAGUUGUAAACAUAGGCAUGUCCCGCCCUUGGUUGGCCCUUUCGGGGGCUGGCCAGGGGCAAAUAUAUGGAUACCCGUGGUAAUUCUGAGGCUAAUACAUGACAAUGCGACCCUGCCAUCGGGCUGCUGGUGCCUCUCGGGGCGCUGGCGGUCUGGUGGCGGGGGACGCGCGAGACUAGGCUGGGUAAUUCGGGAAAGAACGCGCGUUCAGACCACCGUUAAGGGCCUUGCGUAGUGGGGUGCGGCUUGCCGUGCUUCGCUUGCUUGGCCUGGUGGCUCCUGCUUCGUGCUUCUGACCUAUCAACUAGAUGGCAGCGUACGGGACAUGCCAUGGUGACAACGGGUACAGAGGAUCAGGGUUCGAUCCUGGAGAGUGGGCCUGAGAGAUU
This 420-nucleotide ribosomal RNA is filed under the name Comatricha nigra. Its description in RNAcentral is "SSU rRNA". It matches the Rfam family "Eukaryotic small subunit ribosomal RNA", at positions 76 to 405 of the family's 1831-position model. The record is from RNAcentral. Lineage: Eukaryota; Evosea; Eumycetozoa; Stemonitida; Stemonitidae.